This 505-nucleotide ribosomal RNA is filed under the name uncultured bacterium. RNAcentral describes it as "bacterial SSU rRNA". It matches the Rfam family "Bacterial small subunit ribosomal RNA", at positions 8 to 526 of the family's 1533-position model. The record is from RNAcentral.
AGAGUUUGAUCAUGGCUCAGGACGAACGCUGGCGGCGUGCUUAACACAUGCAAGUCGAGCGGUAAGGCCCUUUCGGGGGUACACGAGCGGCGAACGGGUGAGUAACACGUGGGUGACCUGCCCUCAGCUCUGGGAUAAGCCCGGGAAACUGGGUCUAAUACCGGAUAGGACCUCUCAACGCAUGUUGGGUGGUGGAAAGUUUUUUCGGCUGAGGAUGGGCCCGCGGCCUAUCAGCUUGUUGGUGGGGUAAUGGCCUACCAAGGCGGUGACGGGUAGCCGGCCUGAGAGGGCGACCGGCCACACUGGGACUGAGACACGGCCCAGACUCCUACGGGAGGCAGCAGUGGGGAAUAUUGCGCAAUGGGCGGAAGCCUGACGCAGCGACGCCGCGUGGGGGAUGACGGCCUUCGGGUUGUAAACCUCUUUCGCCAGGGACGAAGCCUUCGGGUGACGGUACCUGGAUAAGAAGCACCGGCCAACUACGUGCCAGCAGCCGCGGUAAUAC